CUCAAGGACAGAGGAACCCAUCCCCUCUCACACAGGGAGGGUGUGGAGGUGAAGGGAGUCCAUAGGGCCGCUCCUCGGGUCACGGGGCUAACUAUGGUUCUCCGCAUGGUUCUCGCAGCUCCAGGGGGAACUGCAGCUUGCUGAGUAAGCACACACAAGCUCAGUGUCGUCCAUCUAUUAGCGUGCAGGCGUGCUGUCUGUCCUGGGAGGGGCCGGGUGACUGGUGACAGAUCCCAGCUGUUUCCUAAGGCCCAAAAGACCUCAGCCGGGCCGACAGAUGCGCAUCAGCAACUGAGCAGGCCGUACCAGGGCGGUGGAAGGUGGCCCACCCGGCUGAGAACUGAGGGCGGCCUGGGAGGAAAUGGACGGACGGCCACUGACCCAGAGCCCCACGCUACCGUGAUGGCUCUCCGUUUCCGUCUGCGAAUGGCGCAUCUUGCUGACCCAUUUUGGGCUGAGAGCCUUCAGGUUGCCCUGGUCUCCUUCCCAGCGAGUCCCACGGUGGUUGGACAGGAACUCCACAUCCUGCUCAGGCCUGGAGCCUCUGGCGCAGGGGCCUGCAGCUCUGGCCACGGUGCCGUCCUCGGUCCCAUCUCCCUGUCCUCUCUUGCCCUGUGUCCUUGGGUUGGCUGAACUGGGGCCACAGCAGUGUUUGUGGAGGCUGAACUGGAGGAUGGGGGGGGCACCGAGGACGGGUACAGUGGUAUGGGCAAGCUAUGGCACAGGGGCUCAGCAAAGGAGUCUUGAACCAGCGCCCAGCCUGCGGACAGAUGCUCCAGGUCUGUUUAGUGUCACUGAGGACACUUCUCCUGAGAGAAUGGAGACACCCAUCGUGGAGCUCUCUCCUGAGGACACGGAACCACUCUCACACUGGGCUAACAAUGGAUCAUGAAAGCAUCGCCAUCAGCUGCAAACUCCACCAUAGACAUGGUAUCUUUGAUUCAUUAAGCAGGAGACCUGGCUCUAGGGUACCAGCUCCACACAGAAUAAAGCCUGGAGUUGGGUUUCCACAUGUGUACAGUGGCAAGCUGAACCAGACGGCUCUUAAGCUGACCGAGUGCCUCUUCUUCCCUGGACACUAAUGAGCAGCUUGGAAGCUGAGCCGCUUUCUUCCGGAAAGAGCCUUCACUGCGGGGCAGGGGCUUCAUGCAGCUGCGGGGUGACUGUGGACAGAGCUCCUGGGCACACAACGGACGUGUCCCCUCUGUCUCCCACUCUCCUGAGCUCUUGCUAGCACGACUGAACCCAUGAGGGAUCCGCAGGGAAGACGCAAACCCCUUGGCGAUCAUCCUUCUGGAGUCGGAGCCACCCCAGGAAGGCAGGUGGAGACGGGAGUGGUGGACAGUGUCCCUCUCAUUUAAGGGAUGCGCUGGACAACAGGGCAGGGGCGCAUAAUCUGGGAAAGCCCAACACACACACGCAUACGGCUCCAUCACUUCAUCGGGAAGAUCUCAGCAAAUCUUGGUUGGCCAAACCGUGUUAUAAUCUCUGCACAGAGGGCAUGGCUCACAGCUCUGGAGAUUCUGGGCUUCUGACCCAAGCUGAGGGCUGUGAAUGCUGGGCGUGAGGGGGGAGACUCCAUGAAACCCCAGGCUUCUCAAGAUGAAGGAAUUACAGAAUACAGUACAUUUAUGCCUCUGAAACCAAUGAGAUGGCCUCUUGCCUGAAGAGAAGGGGUGGUCACGUGAGUCUCCCCACGUGCAACGUGAUGCUUUCGUGUUCCGUCUCCACACUUGCUCGGGGUGUCAGAGGGUGAGCCGAGGAAGGAUGAUCCAACAGAGAAUUAAGAGUUGUUUACAACUUUUGUGCCUUCAAAGAGAAUUAUCGUCACGUGCCUAUCCUCCCAAACACCAUGAGACCGUACAAUGCUCUUCUUUCUCACGAAGGCACCAGAACAGAAUGGAAAAUUGAAAUGAUUUUCACGACUGUCACUUAAUGAGUCAGGCUUGGAAAGUGCUAGAAUUAGACUGAUCCUAUCUUUCUGGGCUGAAUUUCCUCAGAAGGGCCAGCGGGAGCCGUGGCCAAGCAUGAGGACCCGGCAGUCAUCUGCGCGGGAGGUGCAGAUCGAGAUCAGCAGCUUUGGGCUUCAGCCUCAAUGAGAACAGAAUACGUGCAUCUCUUUUUGACUUCAUUGCAGAUUUUUAUCAACUAAGCUCUAGUGACUUAUCCCACAUCUGACACUACACAAUCACACACUCAUGGGAGAAGAGUCAUAAGGGAACCGGCCCUGGCCGGUUAGACUUUGUUGACAAAGAAGCACUGUAAUUUGAUGAGAAGUGUUCUCAAAUCAAGUCACGUCAAAAGUGAAAGCGCACAGCCAAGGGCGGAGGUGAGCGUGUGCCAGCCAGCCUGGCAUCACGUGAACUCAGGCCCGUGUGGCCUGCUCCCUCGGGGCCUCAGGGGUGUCCUGAGAUGUCCUGCCCGAUGACGGCACUUUUCCUAGGAGAGCCAUCACGACGCUUGGUGGCGACUGUCUCUUUCUCCUGUCACACGGAGGUCAGGGCAGCGCCUUGUUCACGGCUCCCCGGAAACUGGCUCUGCACAUUCUGUGGAAAAGAUGCUAAUGGAAACAGCUGGGCUGCAGAGGCCGAGAGGUUGACAGAAGCUUCCUCUAAAUCAAAGCUAGCCAAGUGAC
This is a long non-coding RNA of Mesocricetus auratus (golden hamster), 2635 nucleotides long. RefSeq lists it as uncharacterized. The record is from RefSeq and is a predicted model, not a curated record. The transcript is spliced from 3 exons. NCBI's taxonomy places the organism in Eukaryota, Metazoa, Chordata, Mammalia, Rodentia, Cricetidae.